This 427-nucleotide ribosomal RNA is filed under the name uncultured bacterium. RNAcentral describes it as "bacterial SSU rRNA". It matches the Rfam family "Bacterial small subunit ribosomal RNA", at positions 64 to 524 of the family's 1533-position model. The record is from RNAcentral.
GAACGAGAAAGUGGAGCAAUACAUGAGUAAAGUGGCGACCGGGUGAGUAACACGUGACUACCUGCCCUUGAGUGGGGGAUAACUUCGGGAAACCGAGGCUAAUACCGCAUAACAUCGCAAGAUCAAAGGAGCAAUCCGCUGAAGGAGGGGGUCGCGGCUGAUUAGUUAGUUGGUGAGGUAACGGCUCACCAAGACGAAGAUCAGUAGCCGGCCUGAGAGGGCGCACGGCCACACUGGAACUGAAACACGGUCCAGACUCCUACGGGAGGCAGCAGUGGGGAAUUUUGCGCAAUGGGGGAAACCCUGACGCAGCAACGCCGCGUGGAGGAUGAAGUCCCUUGGGAUGUAAACUCCUUUCGAUCGGGACGAUUAUGACGGUACCGGUAGAAGAAGCACCGGCUAACUCUGUGCCAGCAGCCGCGGUAAU